UGCUGGGGUUGUCAGGUGAGCGGUGGCGGGGCGGCUCCGUGCCCGGCGCAAUCCGACUCGCAUCGGCCCUUUAGUCCAGCCAUCCGACCUCGCUAAUCCCGCUCUGCCCUUUCUCUUGCAGGUCCCUGUCGAUAUGCGAGCCAAGUGGCGGAAGAAGCGUAUGCGCAGACUGAAGCGCAAAAGACGAAAGAUGAGGCAGAGGUCCAGGUGAACUACUGCUGAUGGUGCAGUACUGAUCAGGCUUUGUUGAAUCUUGCAUGGCAAAUGGACUCUGGACAUUUCUGCUUAUAAUUGUUCCACUAAGAUCAACAAUUUAUAUAGACGUCUUGGAUGCUGGCUGUGAAAGAUCCUGAACAUUGGUCUGUUGUAGUACUGUGCCAUAAUGUAUUAUAGUUACAAAAUAAAAUGUAAACUCGU
Molecule: long non-coding RNA, 417 nt
Organism: Pristis pectinata (smalltooth sawfish)
Lineage: Eukaryota; Metazoa; Chordata; Chondrichthyes; Rhinopristiformes; Pristidae
Exons: 3
Source: RefSeq, a predicted model, not a curated record